UCUGCAACUCGACUCCAUGAAGCUGGAUUCGCUAGUAAUCGCGCAUCAGCCAUGGCGCGGUGAAUACGUUCCCGGGCCUUGUACACACCGCCCGUCAAGCCAUGGAAGCCGGGAGUGCCUGAAGUGUGCAACCGCAAGGAGCGCCCUAAGGUAAAACUGGUGACUGGGGCUAAGUCGUAACAAGGUAGC
This 189-nucleotide ribosomal RNA is filed under the name uncultured bacterium. Its description in RNAcentral is "partial 16S ribosomal RNA". It matches the Rfam family "Bacterial small subunit ribosomal RNA", at positions 1304 to 1500 of the family's 1533-position model. The record is from RNAcentral.